AGAGUUUGAUCAUGGCUCAGAACGAACGCUGGCGGCGUGGAUAAGACAUGCAAGUCGAACGCUAAUUACCCUGCAGCAAUGUAGGGUAGUUGGAGUGGCGCAAGGGUGCGUAACACGUGGGUAAUUUGCCAUGAAGUUGGGGAUAACUUGCUGAAAGGCGAGCUAAUACCGGAUGUGGAUUUGGAAAGGCAUCUUUCUGGAUCUAAAGUUGGGGACCGCAAGGCCUGACGCUUCAUGAUAAGCCCGCGGCCUAUCAGCUAGUUGGUGAGGUAACGGCUCACCAAGGCUAAGACGGGUAGCUGGUCUGAGAGGACGACCAGCCACACUGGAACUGAGAGACGGUCCAGACACCUACGGGUGGCAGCAGUCGAGAAUUUUUCUCAAUGGGCGAAAGCCUGAAGGAGCGACGCCGCGUGGGGGAUGAAGGGCUUCGGUCCGUAAACCCCUGUCAUUUGCGAACAAACCUUAUCAUUUAAAAGAUGAUGAGCUGAUUGUAGCGAAAGAGGAAGGGACGGCUAACUCUGUGCCAGCAGCCGCGGUAAUACAGAGGUCCCAAGCGUUGUUCGGAUUCACUGGGCGUAAAGGGUGCGUAGGUGGCGGGGUAAGUUUGAUGUGAAAUCUCCGGGCUUAACCCGGAAAAGGCAUUGAAUACUAUUCUGCUGGAGGGUUGGAGGGGGGACUGGAAUUCUCGGUGUAGCAGUGAAAUGCGUAGAUAUCGAGAGGAACACCAGUGGCGAAGGCGAGUCCCUGGACAACACCUGACACUGAGGCACGAAAGCUAGGGGAGCAAACAGGAUUAGAUACCCCGGUAGUCC
RNAcentral lists this ribosomal RNA (815 nucleotides) under uncultured Verrucomicrobia subdivision 3 bacterium. RNAcentral describes it as "bacterial SSU rRNA". It matches the Rfam family "Bacterial small subunit ribosomal RNA", at positions 8 to 796 of the family's 1533-position model. The record is from RNAcentral. Lineage: Bacteria; Pseudomonadati; Verrucomicrobiota; Verrucomicrobiia; Limisphaerales.